RNAcentral lists this long non-coding RNA (511 nucleotides) under Triticum aestivum (bread wheat). Its description in RNAcentral is "long non-coding RNA (TAES_LNC002677)". Lineage: Eukaryota; Viridiplantae; Streptophyta; Magnoliopsida; Poales; Poaceae. The record is from RNAcentral.
UCCUCCGCAGCCAAGGCUGCUCCAUUCCAUUGCUUCUUUUCACCGCUUUAUCUGCACUUUUGUCUUGACCCGGCGCCUGCAAUAAUAAAAAUAAGAAACAAAUAAAUAACCAUACGCAUGGAUAUUUUAUUUUCAAGAUAAGGCUGCAGCUUCUCUGAGCAUUUGCUCAUGCUGAAUGAUUUCUUUUCUUUCUUUUUUUAUAUCUACCAGGUAUGGAUUUCGGGAGGUCAAAUGAGCAGAGGCUGCUGCUGGCCAGGAGCAAGAUGCCCUUCACACCUUCGCAGUGGAUGGAGCUGGAGCACCAGGCCCUCAUAUACAAGUACCUCAACGCGAAGGCCCCCAUACCCUCCGGCCUGCUCAUCUCCAUCAGCAAGAGCUUCAGACCCUCCUCCGAUAGAAGUAAGCAUCCUGCCAAAAAAACAUGUACCCACAUCUCAUUUAUAUUUCACCGAGGUACAAAUGCAACAGAUACGACUGCCUGUAAAUGUGAUGCAGUAAAAGAUCUGUCUUG